GACGAACGCUGGCGGCGUGCUUAACACAUGCAAGUCGAACGGUGAAGCGCCUUCCUUUUUGGUGGGUGUGGAUGAGUGGCGAACGGGUGAGUAACACGAGAGUAAACUGCCCCCUCCUUCUGGAUAACCGCAAGACAGUGUGGAUAACACGGGAUAUAUUGGGUCUGUCGCAUGAUGGGUCUGGGAAAGAUUUUGUUUCGGUGGGGGAUGGGCUCGCGGCUCAUCAGCUUGUUGGUGGGGUGAGGGCCUACCAAGGCGGUGACGGGUAGCCGGCCUGAGAGGAUCGACGGCCACACAGGGGCUGCGCCACGGCGCCGACUCCUACGGGAAGCAGCAGGGGAGAUUACGGCACGAUGGGAGCAAGCCUGGAGCAGCGCCGCGUCGGUAGGGAUGGUGUCCGUCUCGUUGUGAACCUCUAUCGGCGAUGAAGCAGUCUGUCCUCGUUUGUGCGUGGGUUGACGGUAGCUAGAUAGAAAGCGCCGGCUAACUACGUG
RNAcentral lists this ribosomal RNA (494 nucleotides) under uncultured bacterium. RNAcentral describes it as "partial 16S ribosomal RNA". It matches the Rfam family "Bacterial small subunit ribosomal RNA", at positions 28 to 507 of the family's 1533-position model. The record is from RNAcentral.